This 3304-nucleotide long non-coding RNA is filed under the name Callithrix jacchus (white-tufted-ear marmoset). RNAcentral's name for it is "lncRNA (ENSCJAG00000076765.1)". Lineage: Eukaryota; Metazoa; Chordata; Mammalia; Primates; Cebidae. The record is from RNAcentral.
UUUCCUUUCAUGUCUUAGUUUUGCCACCUUAGGUAAAAACACUGACUUCUAUUUUCUCUAUUUCUCCUUUUUUUCUUGGUCUCACCGUAGGAACCCCCCCCCUUCUCUCUUCCAGUUUGUACUAGUUGUGAAAACUGCAGAAUUUUGAGCAAGUAAACAAAUAUAUGAGUAAGAACUUUUUACUUAUAUUUUACUAAAUUUAAUUGAAGUAUAACAGACACAGGGAAAAAUGCGCAGAUUACAAGUUUCGGCUCAAGUAAUGUCACGUGGUGAGUGAACCACCAUGUGCCCAGCUCCAGCUCAAGAGACAAGAAGCACUGGCCGCUGAGAAGCUGCUCUGAGCUGUUCCGGUAGUUGCCCCUGCCCAAGCCGGCCUGUGAUGGUUAAUACUGAGCGUCAACGUGAUUGGACUGAAGGAUGCAAAGCAUUGAUCCUGGGAGUGUCUCUGAGGGUGUUACCAAGGAGAUUCACGUUUCAGUCAGUGGCUGGGAAAGGCAGCCCCACCUCGAUCUGGUGAGCACCAUCUAAUCAGCUGCCUGUGAAUAUACAGACAUACGUGAAAAGGUGAGACUGACCCAGCCUCCCAGCUGGACACUUCCUGCCCUCACAAGUCAGCCUCCACGUUCUUCAGUUUGGAGACUCGAGCUGGCUCUCCUUGCUCCUCAAGCUUGCAGACAGCCUAUUGUGGGACCUUGUGAUUAUGAGAGGUCGCCAGCACCGUGUACAGGAGAGGUCGCCAGCACCGUGUACAGGAGAGGUCGCCAGCACCGUGUACUGGAGAGGUCGCCAGCACCGUGUACAGGAGAGGUCGCCAGCACCGUGUACAGGAGAGGUCGCCAGCACCGUGUACAGGAGAGGUCGCCAGCACCGUGUACUGGAACAUGCACCGUGUGCUGGGGGCUUUAUAGCCAUUGUUGUGUCUCUCUAGAGCCCUGCAAGCAGGUAUUAUCUCUCUAUGAAAAUGAGGAAGCAGAUCCCGCAAAAGGAAGUAUGUUGCAGAGCUGCAGCUGCUGAAAAAAAGGCCGUGUGAGAAUGUAAGCUCAGGUCUGUCUGCCUCCGAAAUUGUUCCUUUUAUAGAGAGAGGAAUGUUCAGGGCAUCCAAGAAACUCGUGUGUGUGUGAGUGUGAGUGUGUGUGUGAGUGUGUGUGUAUGUGUGUGUAUUUGUGUGAAUCUGAGUGUGUGUAUGUGUGUGUGAGUGUGGGUGUGAAUCUGUGUGUGUGAGGAUGUAUGUGUGUUUGUGUGAGAAUGUGUGUGUGAAUCUGUGUGUGUGAAUCUGUGUGUGAGAAUGUAUGUGUGUGUAAAUCUGUGUGUGAGUGUGUGAAUCUGUGUGUGAGAAUGUACGUGUGUGUUUGUGUGUGUGUGAAUCUGUGUGUGUGAGAAUGUGUGUGUUUGUGUGUGAGAGAAUGUAUGUUUGUGUGUGUGAGAAUGUAUCUGUGUUUGUGAGUGUGUGUGUGAGAAUGUAUGUUUGUGUGUGAGAAAAUGUAUGUGUUUGUGAGAAUGUGUGUGAGAAUGUAUGUGUGUUUGUGUGUGAGAGAGAAUGUAUGUGUGUGUGUGAGAAUGAAUGUGGUUUGUGUGUGUGAGAGAAUGUAUGUUUGUGUGUGUGAGAAUGUAUGUGUGUGUUUGUGUGUGUGAAUGUAUGUUUGUGUGUAUGAGAAUGUGUGUGAGAAUGUGUGUGAGUGUGUGUGUGAAUGUAUGUGUGUUUGCGUGUGUGAGAGAAUGUGUGUGAGAAUGUAUGUGUGUGUGAGAAUGUGUGUUUGUGUGUGUGUGAGAAUGUAUGUGUUUGUGUGUGUGAGAGAAUGUAUGUUUGUGUGUGUGAGAAUGUAUGUGUGUGUGUUUGUGUGUGUGAAUGUAUGUGUUUGUGUAUGAGAAUGUGUGUGAGAAUGUAUGUGUGUGAGUGUGUGUGUGAAUGUAUGUGUGUUUGCGUGUGUGAGAGAAUGUGUGUGAGAAUGUAUGUGUGUGUGAGAAUGUGUGUUUGUGUGUGUGUGAGAGAAUGUAUGUGUGUGUGUGUGUGUGUGUGAGACUGUGUGUGUGUUUGUGUGUAUGUGUGUGCAUUUCUCUAGGCAGAGGACCUGUAGCUUUCAUUAGAUUCUCAGAGAGGUCUAUGACUCCAACAAUGUUACGGAACAUGGAUUUAUGUAGACAUCUUAAGGAACCCUUCCAAGUAUUUUGUAAGGUGGAAAGCUAAAGCCCUCAGGAUCUGGUGCACCCUUCUUUACACAUCAAAACCUAAGUGAAUAUUUGCAGGGGGCAGGUGACAGGGCACAACUUUUCCUAUUAAUAGGAUUCUUCCUUUUCAAUGACACGAAUACACAUCAAACACCUGUACUCUCACCUUAGAUGAGCUCCUAAACAGAGCAUAACUUUUUCUUCCCUGUAUGCCCCAAAGCAUGUGGCAGAAAGAGAAAAUGGUCACCCCCAGGGCUAAGUGGCAUGAAGCAGGCAGUGAGCUCCUGAGGAUGGAGGUCAGUGAUUGGAGUGGACGGAUCAGCACGAGCUCAGGAAGGAGCUUGGGGAGCAAUGCAGGUAGCAUCUGCUCACGUGAGAAGGUGAAACAGCUUUGAGAAUGGCUGAAUUUUCCACAUACUCACUUCACACAGAGCUUCUGGUAACUCAAUUAUUUGUAACCAGAGGAGCCCACUCCGGUGGUGAGACCCACUGGGCCCUGCACACCCACCGUCAUCACCAUAUGUGCCAACCCCUUGUGGUGGACACAGCACUGUGCCAACUGCUUCCUGCUCAUUUUUCCCUAAGUUCUUCUCUUGAUCACCUAAUAAAGAAUAUUUUACAGACGAAGAGCUGAAUCUUAGAGAGGUUAAGUCACUUGCUCCAGGUCACCCAGAGAGUAAGCGGUGGCUCUAGGAUGGGAACUAGGCUGCCUUCGACCUGCUGAUUAACAAUUUGAAGGCCCUGGGCCCCAGGAGGGUCAGCGUCCACCCCAGUCUCCCUGGAGUUCGGUUCUAAUUUUUGUUUUCCCAUCUGCUGGCUCCAGCAGCUUGGACCAGAUGGUGACGUCACCUCCCACGCAGGUUCAUUUUCUUCUCGGGAAGGGGUGCUAAGAAGCCAGUUUUCACAAAUCACAGAAGCAAAGCAGAGGGGACACCUGGCGCUCUGGGGGAUGGGGUUGGAGGUUCCCAGAAAGGUGCGGCGGGGAGAGCGCCACGGACUGGCAGUGUGCCCUUGGCAAAACACAGCAUUCCAAAAAAGGAAAACAGAACAGAUCAGUUUAGAGGCCUCUAGAAUCAUGGGGCUAAUUGGGAUUGUGACAGGAUUAGGAGUAGGAACCCAAGCUCACAAAGCUUUCAUC